AGCGAACGCUGGCGGCAGGCCUAACACAUGCAAGUCGAACGAACUCUUCGGAGUUAGUGGCGGACGGGUGAGUAACACGUGGGAACGUGCCUUUUGGUUCGGAAUAACUCAGGGAAACUUGUGCUAAUACCGAAUGUGCCCUUCGGGGGAAAGAUUUAUCGCCAUUAGAGCGGCCCGCGUCUGAUUAGCUAGUUGGUGAGGUAACGGCUCACCAAGGCGACGAUCAGUAGCUGGUCUGAGAGGAUGACCAGCCACACUGGGACUGAGACACGGCCCAGACUCCUACGGGAGGCAGCAGUGGGGAAUCUUGCGCAAUGGGCGAAAGCCUGACGCAGCCAUGCCGCGUGAAUGAUGAAGGUCUUAUGAUUGUAAAAUUCUUUCACCGGGGACGAUAAUGACGGUACCCGGAGAAGAAGCCCCGGCUAACUUCGUG
Molecule: ribosomal RNA, 433 nt
Filed under: uncultured bacterium
Lineage: Bacteria
Description: partial 16S ribosomal RNA
Rfam family: Bacterial small subunit ribosomal RNA
Source: RNAcentral